RNAcentral lists this transfer RNA (82 nucleotides) under Polyangiaceae bacterium LLY-WYZ-15_(1-7). RNAcentral's name for it is "tRNA-Leu". It matches the Rfam family "tRNA". Rfam says of the family: Transfer RNA (tRNA) molecules are approximately 80 nucleotides in length. Their secondary structure includes four short double-helical elements and three loops (D, anti-codon, and T loops). Lineage: Bacteria; Pseudomonadati; Myxococcota; Polyangiales; Polyangiaceae. The record is from RNAcentral.
ACCGGAGUGGCGGAACGGUAUACGUAGCGCGCUCAGAACGCGUGGCCCUCGAGGCAUGCAGGUUCGACUCCUGUCUCCGGUA